GAUGAACGCUGGCGGCGUGCUUAACACAUGCAAGUCGAGCGGAAAGGCCCUUUCGGGGGUACUCGAGCGGCGAACGGGUGAGUAACACGUGAGUAAUCUGCCCCUGGCUUUGGGAUAGCCACCGGAAACGGUGAUUAAUACCGGAUACGACCACUUCUCGCAUGGGAUGGUGGUGGAAAGUUUUUCGGCCAGGGAUGUGCUCGCGGCCUAUCAGCUUGAUGGUGAGGUAAUGGCUCACCAUGGCUUCGACGGGUCGCCGGCCUGAGAGGGUGACCGGUCACACGGGGACUGAGACACGGCCCAGACUCCUACGGGAGGCAGCAGUGGGAAAUAUUGGACGAUGGGCGGAAGCCUGAUCCAGCAACGCCGCGUGAGGGAUGACGGCCUUCGGGUUGUAAACCUCUUUCAGCAGGGACGAAGCGCAAGUGACGGUACCUGCAGAAGAAGCACCGGCCAACUACGUGCCAGCCGCCGCCGUAA
This 480-nucleotide ribosomal RNA is filed under the name uncultured bacterium. RNAcentral describes it as "partial 16S ribosomal RNA". It matches the Rfam family "Bacterial small subunit ribosomal RNA", at positions 28 to 523 of the family's 1533-position model. The record is from RNAcentral.